UAGGGAAUCUUCCGCAAUGGGCGAAAGCCUGACGGAGCAACGCCGCGUGAGUGAUGAAGGUCUUCGGAUCGUAAAACUCUGUUAUUAGGGAAGAACAAAUGUGUAAGUAACUAUGCACGUCUUGACGGUACCUAAUCAGAAAGCCACGGCUAACUACGUGCCAGCAGCCGCGGUAAUACGUAGGUGGCAAGCGUUAUCCGGAAUUAUUGGGCGUAAAGCGCGCGUAGGCGGUUUUUUAAGUCUGAUGUGAAAGCCCACGGCUCAACCGUGAAGGGUCAUUGGAAACUGGAAAACUUGAGUGCAGAAGAGGAAAGUGGAAUUCCAUGUGUAGCGGUGAAAUGCGCAGAGAUAUGGAGAAACACCAGUGGCGAAGACGACUUUCUGGUCUGUAACUGACGCUGAUGUGCGAAAGCGUGGGGAUCAAACAGG
This 429-nucleotide ribosomal RNA is filed under the name Actinomycetes bacterium. Its description in RNAcentral is "Actinobacteria bacterium partial 16S ribosomal RNA". It matches the Rfam family "Bacterial small subunit ribosomal RNA", at positions 355 to 776 of the family's 1533-position model. Lineage: Bacteria; Bacillati; Actinomycetota; Actinomycetes. The record is from RNAcentral.